RNAcentral lists this unclassified non-coding RNA (349 nucleotides) under soil metagenome. Its description in RNAcentral is "partial contains 5.8S ribosomal RNA, internal transcribed spacer 2, and large subunit ribosomal RNA". The stretch from base 1 to 119 matches the Rfam family "5.8S ribosomal RNA", at positions 35 to 154 of the family's 154-position model. The record is from RNAcentral.
GAUGAAGAACGUAGCGAAAUGCGAUAAGUAAUGCGAAUUGCAGAAUCCGUGAGUCAUCGAAUCUUUGAACGCACAUUGCGCCCUCUGGUAUUCCGGAGGGCAUGCCUGUUCGAGCGUCAUUAUCACCCCUCAAGCCCGGCUUGUUGUUGGAUGCAGCGCUUAUCCCGCUCCUCCCAAAGAUAAUGACGGCGUCUGCGACGACUCCUGUACACUGAGCUUUCGGGCACGUACACGGCUAGAAGUCCAGACCCGGUCGCCGUCCCCCCCGCGGGGUCACCCAUUACCACAAGGUUGACCUCGGAUCAGGUAGGAAUACCCGCUGAACUUAAGCAUAUCAAUAAGCGGAGGA